AAAUUGAAGAGUUUGAUCAUGGCUCAGAUUGAACGCUGGCGGCAGGCCUAACACAUGCAAGUCGAACGGUAACAGGAAGCAGCUUGCUGCUUUGCUGACGAGUGGCGGACGGGUGAGUAAUGUCUGGGAAACUGCCUGAUGGAGGGGGAUAACUACUGGAAACGGUAGCUAAUACCGCAUAACGUCGCAAGACCAAAGAGGGGGACCUUC
This 210-nucleotide ribosomal RNA is filed under the name Escherichia coli. RNAcentral's name for it is "partial 16S ribosomal RNA". It matches the Rfam family "Bacterial small subunit ribosomal RNA", at positions 1 to 218 of the family's 1533-position model. The record is from RNAcentral. Lineage: Bacteria; Pseudomonadati; Pseudomonadota; Gammaproteobacteria; Enterobacterales; Enterobacteriaceae.